GGUUUGAGCAGGGCUCUGUGUGCGCAGCUGAAGAUAGGCUUCCGCGGUCAAAUAGACGAAUAGACAGCGACGGAGAUAUGAACGGUUUUCUCUUCCCGUUCUCUUGUCAGUUCUCACUUUAAUCUUGACAAAUGUGAGCUAGACAACUUUACAUUUUCUACGUUUUUGGUCGUAACGUGUUGCCUAUUUUGGAGUGCUUUGUUGUUUUCAGAGUUUAAGAAAGGUCGAACGCGCCGCGCAACAACUGCAGGCGGCGUUGGAUUAUUCCCGUGGCGGAAUAUUUUGGUGGACAGUCACUGUCCUACACAUUGCAUACGGGAUAUUCAAAACAUUUAGAAGUUGCGAUUGGUGUCACAUUUCUCCGUGACUUUUAGGUAUGCCUGUGGUUGUCAGCGCGUCUCCGGACAGGUAACCGGGCGUGUUGCUGGUGCCAUGGCAACGCCAGAGCUGCGGCUGUUACCUGUCAUUGUGGUUGCCGUUAUCCUGGUGGCGUUGUCGGCUGCGGAUGACCACGACUGGCACUUUAAACCAGCUCAGUGUCGUUAUGCCCUUGGGAUGGAGGAUGGCACCAUCCCUGACUCUGACAUAACGGCUUCCAGCGCCUGGUCAGACUCUACUGAGGCCAAACACGGCAGGUUGAGUACAGGAGAGGGGGACGGUGCAUGGUGUCCUGCAGGAGCGGUGUUCCCCACUGCUUCAGAGUACCUCCAGGUGGACCUGCGCUCGCUGCACUUUCUGGCUCUGGUGGGUACCCAGGGUCGCCAUGCCGACGGGCACGGCCGGGAGUUUGCCCGCAGCUACCGGCUCCGUUACUCCAGAGAUAGACGCACCUGGAUCACCUGGAAGGACCGCUGGGGGCAGGAGGUGGUGUCUGGGAAUGAGAACACCUAUGAUGUGGUUCUGAAGGACCUGGGUCCACCCAUUGUUGCCCGCUAUGUCCGCUUCUACCCCCUGGCAGACCGGGUCAUGAGCGUCUGUCUACGAGUGGAGCUCUAUGGCUGUCUGUGGAACGAUGGCCUGUUGGUGUACACAGCUCCAGUGGGUCAUGUGAUGCACCUGUCUGGCUCACCUGUGUACCUCAACGAUUCCACCUACGAUGGCAGCAUAGAGGCAGGGGUUCAGUUCGGAGGCCUGGGCCAGCUGUUUGACGGUGUGUUAGGAGGGGAUGACUUCACAGAGACCAAGGAGCUGAGGGUGUGGCCGGGGUAUGACUACCUGGGCUGGAGCAGAGAGGCUCUGGGGCAGGGCAGCGUUGACAUAGAGUUCCACUUCGAAAAGACACGCAGCUUCCACACCAUGCAGGUCCACAGUAAUAACCGCCACACCCAGGGUGUGAGGGUCUUCAGUAAGGUAGAGUGUCAGUUUAAACCUGGCCUGUUACUCCCCUGGUCCUCGCCCCCCCUCUCCCUGGCUGUACCCCUGGAGGACCUGAAGGACCCCUCCUCACGCCCCAUCUCCCUGCCCCUGGGGGGUCGCCCCGCCCAGAUCUUACGCUGCCAGUUUGCCUUCGCAGACCGAUGGAUGCUCAUCUCUGAGAUCUCCUUUUACUCUGAGCCGUAUGGGGAGGGUGUCGACCCCGUGGACACGGGCUCUGCUCUUCCUGCUCCUCCGGUCUCCUCCGCUACUCCUCCUCCUCCUGUCUUCCCUUCCUCUGUCAGCCCCGCCCUCAACCACAACUUCACUAGCGUUCCCUCAGAACCCCCCACCACCAACCCCAUGAUGGACAGCACGGGUAACAGCACACUGUCAGGGGCCGACUUCGAUGCCAUGACCCCGAGGGCGGGCCUUCCUGUCGCCAAGGACGACAGCAGUAACACAGCCAUCCUGAUUGGCUGCCUGGUGGGCAUCAUCCUGCUGCUAUUAGCUGUGAUCGCUGUCAUUCUGUGGAGGCAAUACUGGAAGAAGAUACUGGGCAAGGCCCAGGGCAGUCUGUCCAGUGACGAGUUGCGUGUCCAUCUGUCCGUCCCCUCGGACAACGUGGUGAUCAACAACACACACAGCUACUCCAGCCGCUACCAGCGAAUACACACAUUCCCUGACGACAGGGACAGGGAGCGCUGCGACGGAGAGGGAGAGUACCAGGAGCCCAGCGCACUGCUCCGACCACGAGACCACACUGGACGAGACAGCACCGCCUUGCUGUUAAACAACCCAGCCUAUGACCUCCUCCUGUCAGAUCAGAGGCAGCAUGGCUCAGGCUCCUCGUGGCCCCUAACCGUCCCAUUGGCCAGGGCCAGCUCCUCCCACCCUCAGGAGAAGAGCCUCAAUAAUGGGGCCCAGGCCUGUGGUAUGGACUUGGAGAAGGGCUUACCCCCCACCCAGGAGGAGCCUCCCCCGUACCCCGAUGCCCCUCCCUACCCGGCCCUGUCUCCCCCCUUCCCCGCCAGCGUGCCCCACUAUGCAGAGGCGGACAUCGUUAGCCUGCAGGGCGUCAGUGGUAACAAUACGUAUGCAGUGCCAGCCCUGACCUCCCCCAGCCCCACUGCAGCAGACUGCACCCCCCUGCCUGAACUGCCCCGACACUGUCUGGUCUUCAAGGAGAAACUGGGAGAAGGACAGUUUGGAGAGGUGCACCUGUGCGAGAUAGAGAGCCCUCAGGACCUGCCUAACCUGGAGUUCCCUUUCAACGUGAGGAAAGGACGCCCUCUGCUGGUGGCUGUUAAGAUACUGCGCCCUGACGCCUCCAAGAAUGCCAGGAAUGACUUCCUAAAGGAGGGGAAGAUUCUGUCUCGUCUGAAGGACCCCAACAUCAUCCGUCUGUUGGGAGUGUGUGUGAGCAGCGAUCCUCUCUGUAUGGUCACAGAGUACAUGGAGAGUGGAGACCUCAACCAGUACCUCUCACACAGAGUCCUGCUGGACAAGACUGGACCCACACACAACACCCCCACCAUCAGUUACCCUGCUCUGAUCGCCAUGGCCAGUCAGAUAGCUUCAGGGAUGAAGUUUCUGUCGUCUCUGAACUUCGUGCACCGUGACCUGGCCACAAGAAACUGCCUGGUGGGGGGUGAGAAGGGCGAGAGCGGGGCGACCCGGGGCGGGAGCGACCCAUCAAGAUCGCCGACUUUGGGAUGAGCAGAAACCUGUAUGCUGGAGACUAUUACCGCAUCCAGGGGCGGGCUGUGCUGCCUAUACGAUGGAUGGCCUGGGAGUGUAUCCUGAUGGGGAAGUUCACCACAGCCAGUGACGUGUGGGCGUUUGGUGUGACUCUGUGGGAGAUGCUGAGUGUGUGUCAGGAGCAACCCUACUCCAACCUGACUGAUGAACAGGUCAUAGACAAUGCUGGAGAGUUCUUCAGGGACCACGGAAGACAGGUGUAUCUGAGCAGACCAGGUGUGUGUCCUCAGGGUCUCUAUGACCUCAUGCUGAGCUGCUGGAACCGGGACUGCAAGCUCCGCCCAUCAUUUGCCCACAUUCACUCCUUCCUCACAGAGGAUGCCAUGAACAUGGUGUAGAGAGAGAGAGAGAGAGAGGAAUGGAAGAGUGAGAUGGAGAGAGGAUGAGAGACGGCUCCUCCUACCUCCAUUCAUCACAGAGAUGAGUGCUUUGAGCGAGGGAUGUGUGUAGAAGUGGUGGAGGUGUAGAGGGAGAGGUGUGCAGUAGAGGGAUGUGUGCCUGCUUGUAUAUUUUGUAUUUCUCUAUGAUGGGCGGAUGUGGCCGAGACACUGCUGGUUCGGUUUUCACUCCCACAAGACAGACCCCCCCCCUGAGUAGUCUCUAGAGUGUAGCACAACACAACGGUUGGUGCGGUGGUGGGUUGGUGUCUGAUUCUGCAUGGUCCGUCACUGGUCUGCCAGCUAACACAGGGAAGCUGUAAGACAUGUAUGGGGAGGUGAUGUGACAAUGCUUGGUAAUGUAGAUGAAGCUAAAAUGAAUGUGUAACGCUGAUUAACGUUUAUCAAAGAAUAUCAACAAUACCAAUCUGAUUAUGUAUCAAUGUCAGACUUUAAUACUCUGAAAUGUGAUCAUAGUUUAAUAGCAUAUUAACAUUUUGGGAUAAACUUAAUAACACAUCGUCCUAUAUAGAUAUUUUAUUACUUGACAUGCUAAUGUUUUUGGUAUUGUAUAAAUCAUGUGCUAGGGUUACUGGUGAAGGUCUAUAUAUAUUCUCAUACUGUCAACAUUUCUCCAUCUCAAAACGGUACGCACACAUUUUUCACACAGAGAUGAAAUUGCACACAAGGUUUGCUGUCUUAGUACUAUAUAUAAAACGAGUAUGUCCCAGUAAACUCCAGUAUGUUUCACUAGUUUUCAGUAUAUAACCCAGUUCUUCCCAGACCCUUAUUCCCAGCCCCAAACCCUCCAUCCCAGACCCUUAUUCCCAGCCCCAAACCCUCCACCCCAGACCCUUAUUCCCAGCCCCAAACCCUCCAUCCCAGACCCUUAUUCCCAGCCCCAAACCCUCCAUCCCAGACCCUUAUUCCCAGCCCCAAACCCUCCAUCCCAGCCCCAAACCCUCCAUCCCAGACCCUUAUUCCCAGCCCCAAACCCUCCAUCCCAGAACCUUAUUCCCAGCCCCAAACCCUCCACCCCAGACCCUUAUUCCCAGCCCCAAACCCUCCAUCCCAGACCCUUAUUCCCAGCCCCAAACCCUCCACCCCAGACCCUUAUUCCCAGCCCCAAACCCUCCACCCCAGACCCUUAUUCCCAGCCCCAAACCCUCCACCCCAGACCCUUAUUCCCAGCUCCAAACCCUCCAUCCCAGACCCUUAUUCCCAGCCCCAAACCCUCCAUCCCAGACCCUUAUUCCCAGCCCCAAACCCUCCACCCCAGCCCCUUAUUCCCAGCCCCAGCCCCAAACCCUCCACCCCAGCCCCUUAUUCCCAGCCCCAAACCCUCCACCCCAGCCCCUUAUUCCCAGCCCCAAACCCUCCACCCCAGACCCUUAUUCCCAGCCCCAAACCCUCCAUCCCAGACCCUUAUUCCCAGCCCCAAACCCUCCAUCCCAGACCCUUAUUCCCAGCCCCAAACCCUCCAUCCCAGCCCCAAACCCUCCAUCCCAGACCCUUAUUCCCAGCCCCAAACCCUCCACCCCAGACCCUUAUUCCCAGCCCCAAACCCUCCACCCCAGACCCUUAUUCCCAGCUCCAAACCCUCCAUCCCAGACCCUUAUUCCCAGCCCCAAACCCUCCAUCCCAGACCCUUAUUCCCAGCCCCAAACCCUCCACCCCAGCCCCUUAUUCCCAGCCCCAAACCCUCCACCCCAGCCCCUUAUUCCCAGCCCCAAACCCUCCACCCCAGACCCUUAUUCCCAGCCCCAAACCCUCCAUCCCAGACCCUUAUUCCCAGCCCCAAACCCUCCAUCCCAGCCCCUUAUUCCCAGCCCCAAACCCUCCAUCCCAGACCCUUAUUCCCAGCCCCAAACCCUCCACCCCAGACCCCAGUCUAAGGUUCGGUCUCAUGGAGCCAGACGAGGCUGAAUAUUGCAUUAUAUUCCUCUGGCCUACCCGUUACGCCUGAGCUUUAAAGUCUGGCAAGCAGAAUGAUGGUAUCUCAUACACAGGCCAGUAACAGACACAGCAACAGGUGUUCCACCAGCAGUCUGUAACACCAGGCAUUAGACAGACACACGAACACUGCAGUCAGUCAGUCAGUCAGCUCCUCAGUCCAGACUUGGCUGGCAUUGUGACUAUAGUCUGCCACAUUCUGCCUCCCACUCCAACCAACUGUCAUUCUGCAGUCUCACUCAUAUAUCUCACAACUGAUCCACUCUGAGCUGUAACUAUGGAGUUAUACUGGACUGAUGUGAACUGAUCUGGACUCGAGGACUCUUUCCAGGACAGGAAGUGUGUGGUUGUUACUCUACCAGACCUCCAAACUGAAACCCUUUGGACCUCCAGAGCCAGAGAGAACUGACUGGUGUCACGUGACGUGAGCCUCACUGACUGAGAGAACAGAUACAGUAGGGGAGGUGCACUGUGAACCGCUACAGCCUAUGAGAGUUGAACUUAACAGAAGAGAGACGUCCUUCCUGAUGGGAGCUGGAAUAGUACAGCCCACAGCAACACAGCAACACAGACAACACUGCCUGCGCUGUGACAUCACAUGUGAAAUUGACAGUUGUGAUUGGUGACUAGCUGAUGAAACAGCAUAACAUGGAUGGACAGAUGGAUUGACGACUAGAGGGGAGUGGGGGCUGAUAUAUGUAAAUGACCAUUUUCAUGUGUAAUUGAGGUGAGCGACGUGAUGAUUUUCUACCAGCGAUGGAUAGCGGAGCUGGGUCUGACUCAGUGACCCAGAUGGAGAAAGGAGGUUCAUGUAUAUGUCCAAUACACUACCAGCUGCACUUUAAAGGCUGUUUCUGGCUGCACGCCCCAAUACCUGCAUUAGAAUACUAGAGUCGUGACCAGUCUUGGGGCAUAGUUACAGUACUUGUAGUAUAACAACUAAUUAACGGCACUUUCAGAGUAGGUCCCCCAACACUGGUAUGCUAGUUACUAUACUAGUAUCAUGUUGGUAUGCUAGUUACUAUACUAGUAUCAUGUUGGUAUGCUAGUUACUAUACUAGUAUCAUGUUGGUAUGCUAGUUACUAUACUAGUAUCAUGUUGGUAUGCUAGUUACUAUACUAGUAUCAUGUUGGUAUGCUGGUCUGGAUGUUGGAGCGUACAGUCUGGAUCCCCUUGGCGUUAGAACCCAUAGCAGUCCAACAUGGCAUUGCUGGUCAAAAUAGAUGUAGUUCUAAACAGAAAUACAGGUCAGUGUCUUGUGAUUUAUCUACUUAAAGUGGAUCAUUUAUUCAUGAUUCAUAUCAGUGGAUUGUUGUUCAAAUAGAACUGCCUCAUAAAAGGUGUUCUCAAGGAGGAAAAUAAAGGUUUGGAAAACCUCCGCAUUAUGAGGAAAGGCAGAGUACACCAAAUGCUCAUCCCCAAACUGCCAGUGUUACAUACAUACCCAUCAGACGUAACGGUUGAAACAUCCCAAUCACAAAGAACAUAACACUCAUGAGGAGAGGAACACUAACAACUGUAUCCAAAGCCUUUUAGUUUGUCAGUGACCUUCCAUCUACAUUAUCCCAACAUAAGCUGACCAUGGUGGACUCUGCCUUACUGAUUGUAGUUCUGUAUAAUGUGUCAGGUUUGAUCAAGAUCAAAUCAUCCUUAUUUACUGAUUGAAUGAGUGUGAAUGGAGGUGCCAUAUGAAUACAGUACGUGCUUCUCGAUUGACCUUUUUCGAUACACUGUAGCCAAAAUAAACCCAUAUCUGUAUAUAUAUUUCCUGUAUACGUACUUAGAAUCUCCUUGUCAGUGAUGACGUCAUCCUUUGUCUUUGAAGCUGAACCUGAUGUGUACAUAUUUUAAGGACAGAAUUUUUAUUUCAUUGACUAAUAUAUGGAAUUUCUUUGUUACAGUUGGGGUCUCUUCCUUUUGUUCCUUUGUAGAAAGCUUGCUACCUUAUCUUGAUGCCAUUGUAAUUCAUUGUGUUGUCUAUUUUUGUAGUUUUAAUAAAGUUAAUCUUUCCAAAUAAA
Molecule: non-coding RNA, 7463 nt
Organism: Salmo salar (Atlantic salmon)
Lineage: Eukaryota; Metazoa; Chordata; Actinopteri; Salmoniformes; Salmonidae
Source: RefSeq, a predicted model, not a curated record